UUCGGUACAUCGGUGACAGGUGGUGCAUGGUUGUCGUCAGCUCGUGUCGUGAGAUGUUGGGUUAAGUCCCGCAACGAGCGCAACCCCUAUUGUUAGUUGCCAUCAUUCAGUUGGGCACUCUAGCGAGACUGCCGGUAAUAAACCGGAGGAAGGUGGGGAUGACGUCAAAUCAUCAUGCCCCUUAUGACCUGGGCUACACACGUGCUACAAUGGUUGGUACAACGAGUUGCGAGUCGGUGACGGCGAGCUAAUCUCUUAAAGCCAAUCUCAGUUUCGGAUUGUAGGCUGCAACUCGCCUACAUGAAGUCGGAAUCGCUAGUAAUCGCGGAUCAGCACGCCGCGGUGAAUACGUUCCCGGGCCUU
RNAcentral lists this ribosomal RNA (363 nucleotides) under uncultured Streptococcus sp. RNAcentral describes it as "bacterial SSU rRNA". It matches the Rfam family "Bacterial small subunit ribosomal RNA", at positions 1019 to 1382 of the family's 1533-position model. The record is from RNAcentral. Lineage: Bacteria; Bacillati; Bacillota; Bacilli; Lactobacillales; Streptococcaceae.